Molecule: ribosomal RNA, 380 nt
Filed under: uncultured eukaryote
Lineage: Eukaryota
Description: partial 18S ribosomal RNA
Rfam family: Eukaryotic small subunit ribosomal RNA
Source: RNAcentral
CAAUAGCGUAUAUUAAAGUUGUUGCGGUUAAAAAGCUCGUAGUUGGAUUUCUGCCGAGGACGACCGGUCCGCCCUCUGGGUGUGUAUCUGGUUUGGCCUGGGCAUCUUCUUGGAGAACGUAGCUGCACUUGACUGUGUGGUGCGGUGUCCAGGACUUUUACUUUGAGGAAAUUAGAGUGUUUCAAGCAGGCACACGCCUUGAAUACAUUAGCAUGGAAUAAUAAGAUAGGACCUCGGUUCUAUUUUGUUGGUUUCUAGAGCUGAGGUAAUGAUUAAUAGGGAUAGUUGGGGGCAUUCGUAUUUAACUGUCAGAGGUGAAAUUCUUGGAUUUGUUGAAGACGGACUACUGCGAAAGCAUCUGCCAUGGAUGUUCUCAUUGA